RNAcentral lists this ribosomal RNA (457 nucleotides) under uncultured bacterium. RNAcentral's name for it is "partial 16S ribosomal RNA". It matches the Rfam family "Bacterial small subunit ribosomal RNA", at positions 355 to 823 of the family's 1533-position model. The record is from RNAcentral.
UGGGGAAUAUUGCACAAUGGGCGCAAGCCUGAUGCAGCAACGCCGCGUGAGGGACGACGGCCUUCGGGUUGUAAACCUCUUUUAGUAGGGAAGAAGCGAAAGUGACGGUACCUGCAGAAAAAAGCACCGGCUAACUACGUGCCAGCAGCCGCGGUAAUACGUAGGGUGCAAGCGUUGUCCGGAAUUAUUGGGCGUAAAGAGCUCGUAGGCGGUUUGUCGCGUCUGCUGUGAAAACCCGAGGCUCAACCUCGGGCCUGCAGUGGGUACGGGCAGACUAGAGUGCGGUAGGGGAGAAUGGAAUUCCUGGUGUAGCGGUGGAAUGCGCAGAUAUCAGGAGGAACACCGAUGGCGAAGGCAGUUCUCUGGGCCGUAACUGACGCUGAGGAGCGAAAGCGUGGGGAGCGAACAGGAUUAGAUACCCUGGUAGUCCACGCCGUAAACGUUGGGCGCUAGAUGU